This 497-nucleotide ribosomal RNA is filed under the name uncultured bacterium. RNAcentral's name for it is "partial 16S ribosomal RNA". It matches the Rfam family "Bacterial small subunit ribosomal RNA", at positions 28 to 507 of the family's 1533-position model. The record is from RNAcentral.
GAUGAACGCUGGCGGCGUGCCUAAUACAUGCAAGUCGAGCGAACAGACGAGGAGCUUGCUCCUCUGACGUUAGCGGCGGACGGGUGAGUAACACGUGGAUAACCUACCUAUAAGACUGGGAUAACUUCGGGAAACCGGAGCUAAUACCGGAGAAUAUAUUGAACCGCAUGGGUCAAUAGUGAAAGACGGUUUUGCUGUCACUUAUAGAGGGAUCCGCGCCGCAUUAGCUAGUUGGUAAGGUAACGGCUUACCAAGGCAACGAUGCGUAGCCGACCUGAGGGGGUGAUCGGCCACACUGGAACUGAGACACGGUCCAGACUCCUACGGGAGGCAGCAGUAGGGAAUCUUCCGCAAUGGGCGAAAGCCUGACGGAGCAACGCCGCGUGAGUGAUGAAGGUCUUCGGAUCGUAAAACUCUGUUAUUAGGGAAGAACAAAUGUGUAAGUAACUAUGCACGUCUUGACGGUACCUAAUCAGAAAGCCACGGCUAACUACGUG